GUAGAAUUGAGCACUGAAACUAAAAUUGCAUUGGAAGUAUUCAGAAGAAUUGAUCUGAAUGGGCUCUCACUCUCUAAGUGAUGCUAAGAACAGAAAGUUAUGACUUGAAAAACUUGACACAGGCAACAUUGAGUUGAUACUGAUAAUGAGAUAAACUUUGGAUAUUAUGAGACCUAAAAGAAGAUGCAGUUCAACCUAAGAAUGUGUGAAAUGACUGCAGCAAGGUUCUGUGUGGGAAGAAAAGCUGAGACUUAAACUGUGAAAAUAGAAG
Long non-coding RNA from Mauremys reevesii (Reeves's turtle), 271 nucleotides. RefSeq lists it as uncharacterized. The record is from RefSeq and is a predicted model, not a curated record. NCBI's taxonomy places the organism in Eukaryota, Metazoa, Chordata, Testudines, Geoemydidae. The transcript is spliced from 3 exons.